GUGAUGGGGGCCUCAGCACUAGGAAGGAGUGGACUAUUGGCGCAUGUAGCAGCUUGAAUAAAUCUGAAAGUCACUACACUGCGUAAGAGAAGCCAAAUAAAAAAGUUCAUGCUGUGUACAGAGGGUGUUGAGAAUGCCUCCUACGUGACGGAAAGCAGAUCCGUGGUUCCCUGCAGACCGGCAGGAGCAGAUUCCAAAGGCACAGGAAGAAGCUUGCAGGUUUCCUUAACGACAACAAAAAAGGGAGUAAUCCUACCUACUGUAAGAGUCAUGACUCUUGAUUGCAGCUGACAGAAGCUCAUGACAGCCUGGUUUAGAUAAAAGGGGAAAGGACGACUGGAAGAAUCUUGGAGUUGGGAAUAUGGCACAUAAUUGAAGGAAGAGCAAUAAAACUAUAGCAGCUGCUCCCAACCCCAGCAACUUUGCUAUCUUAGAACGGAUCACCAGUGAAAGAGGGGAAGUUGCUACUGUGAUGAAUUCUGCCAUGUGGUACCAGACUGCUGCCCAGACCACAGUGUCCUCUGCAACCCUGGUAACUCACAUACAGGCCUGAUUCCACCUACAGCAAAGCUGGAUGCUAUGGUUGGCAGAGGCAAGCCCCUUGCCUGCACUUCAGGCCAAAGCCGGGAUGUGGCCUAGAUGGUUCCUAAGGUCCCUGACAGUCCUGAGAUCUUUCAUCUUGUCUAUUUCAGGUCAAAGGUGCCUACAUGUUCCUUCUAGCUUUGUUUCCCU
RNAcentral lists this long non-coding RNA (732 nucleotides) under Pongo abelii (Sumatran orangutan). Its description in RNAcentral is "lincRNA". Lineage: Eukaryota; Metazoa; Chordata; Mammalia; Primates; Hominidae. The record is from RNAcentral.